Molecule: ribosomal RNA, 1424 nt
Filed under: Triticum aestivum (bread wheat)
Lineage: Eukaryota; Viridiplantae; Streptophyta; Magnoliopsida; Poales; Poaceae
Description: partial small subunit ribosomal RNA
Source: RNAcentral
AUGGUGGGGAGCGGGGGGUAGAUUUGGCGGGGGAGGGGGGGGGAGCGGGAGGGUAAGGGACGCUCGAGGUGUGUCGUAGUGUGGCGUAAAGAGUAAGAAGGAGGGGUGCAGCGGCAUCGUCGAUCGAUCGGCCCCUCCCUCCCCGGCGGCGGCGGCUCACUCCCUCGGCCCCCUCCGCCCAACCUCCGUCCGGCCUCUACCCCGCGCCCGGCCACGUCGACGCCGCCUAGCUCUUGUUCUAUUUGGCCGUCCACUGGAAGAGGUUCGCGGCGUCGCCCAACGACUUCUUCCGCGUGCUCUAGAGGCACGAGACGCUGCGGCUCCAGCGCGAGUAGCAGAAGAGGUGGUUCCCGUUCGAUAUGCUCAUGAGGUCGGUCCUGUCAUCGUACCUACACUAAGAACUUGCAAUGGUUGCAAUGAGUAAACUUCUUUCUCGACAUGACCUAGGUUCAUAACCUUUGGUCCGUUUGACCCCUCUACUUAUACCUUCAAACUUCUAUUUUGAGCUACGUGAGGUCUUCUCAGUUUCCGUUGAGAACCCACUUGUUAACCUGGGUGAGUGGUGUUUUCUUGAGGUUGUCAACCUUGUUGUCGAACUAUCAAGAAACUUCGUGUAUUCCAGUUCUUUCUUAGUUGAAGAGAAACUCAGAUAUAGACUCGAAGUUUUCUUCCUCUUCAGUAAUUUUCUAGUCUUACCACAGGACGUCUUCGUGGAGCAUCUCUGUCUUUUCCUCUUUUUAUUGCAAAACAGUUUAUAAGUAGUGGUUCUCGUCAACUUACCUCGUUGUUUAUAAGUAGUGGUCCUCGUCGACUUACCUCGUUGUUGUUCGAGUGGCAGUGGAUGUGGUCGCUGUCGGGUUCUAAGGUACCGUGGAGGUUUAUAACCCGGUAUAGUUAGAUCUCUUAGUCCUCCCCCCUUAGGUCUUGGAGUCGGCAGAGGUCGUGUUCGUUUGUUGUCGUUAGAUGGUCGCACCUACGAGGCGUGGCAGUCGUUGUCUACUUCCGACCGCUGUCGGAGUAUACUGAGGUGGACUUCCGCUCUUACCGCGGACUGUACGCGGGUGAUACCUUCGAUCUGCGGCCACACGUCAGGUAGAGGCCGUUACCGAAGGCCACAUCGGUGAUUAUUCUGGUGCGCAGAAACGACGACCCACUUACCCCAGAAGGACAGAAUUCGAAAAGGACGUGAUAUUCUAUGAACAAAGGUGCAAAGCCAAGGUAAAAAAGAGGAUAGCUACUCGUGCUAGAACACCAACCUCAAAGCACACAUUGGAAAUUACCUCAACGCCAUACAAAAAUGCACAACACUGCCAAAAACAUAAGGUAGGCAACAUUUUUUUCGUUUUCCCGCGACGGAAGAGAAAUGUAACAAUAAUUUUUUUUUCUCGUCCCGUGACUUGAAAACCGUUUACGUACUGGUGCUG